AUUGAACGCUGGCGGCAUGCUUUACACAUGCAAGUCGAACGGCAGCGCGGGGGCAACCCUGGCGGCGAGUGGCGAACGGGUGAGUAAUGUAUCGGAACGUAUCCUGUAAUGGGGGAUAACCAGUCGAAAGAUUGGGUAAUACCGCAUACGCACGAGAGUGGAAAGUAGGGGAUCGCAAGACCUUACGUUAUAGGAGCGGCCGAUAUCUGAUUAGCUAGUUGGUGGGGUAAAGGCCUACCAAGGCGACGAUCAGUAGCUGGUCUGAGAGGACGACCAGCCACACUGGGACUGAGACACGGCCCAGACUCCUACGGGAGGCAGCAGUGGGGAAUUUUGGACAAUGGGCGAAAGCCUGAUCCAGCCAUGCCGCGUGCAGGAAGAAGGCCUUCGGGUUGUAAACUGCUUUAGUCUAGGAAAAAGGGGUACGAGGUUAAUACCCUCUUGCUUUGAUGGUACUGGAAGAAUAAGCACCGGCUAACUACGUG
Molecule: ribosomal RNA, 485 nt
Filed under: uncultured bacterium
Lineage: Bacteria
Description: bacterial SSU rRNA
Rfam family: Bacterial small subunit ribosomal RNA
Source: RNAcentral